AGUUCGAUUAUGGCUCAGAUUGAACGCUGGCAGGAUGCUUUACACAUGCAAGUCGAACAGCAGCACGGACUUCGGUCUGGUGGCGAGUGGCGAACGGGUGAGUAAUGUAUCGGGAAUUGCCUAAAUGGCAACAGGGGAUAACUACACUGAAAGCGUAGCUAAUACCGCAUACGCCCUUCGGGGAAGCGGGGGUUAUUCGGGCCUCGCACUAUGAAACGGCCGAUAUCGGAUUAGCUAGUUGGUGGGGGUAACGGCUCACCAAGGCGACGAUCCGUAGCUGGUUUGAGAGGACGACCAGCUACACUGGGGACUGAGACACGGCCCAGACUCCUACGGGAGGCAGCAACAGUGGGGGUACGGGACAAUGGAAACCCUGGUCCGGCCUGCAUCCCGUGUGCGAUGAAGGCCUUCGGGUUGCUAAAGGCACUUUGGCAGGAAAGAAACGGCGCAGGAUAUUACCCCGUGCAACUGACAGUACCUGCAGAAUAAGCACCGGCUAAUACGUGCCGCGUAGCCCGCGGUAAUACGGCGGGUGCAAGCGUUAAUCGGAAUUACUGGGCUAAAGCGUGCGCAGGCGGUUCGGAAGAAAGAUGUGAAAUCCCAGGCUUAACUUUGGAACUGCAUUUUUAACUACCGAGCUAGAGUGUGCUCGAAAUUCCGCGUGUAGCAGUGAAAUGCGUAGAUAUGCGGAGGAACACCGAUGGCGAAGGCAGCCUCCUGGGAUAACACUGACGCUCAUGCACGAAAGCGUGGGAGCAAACGGAUUAGAUGCCCUGGUAGUCCACGCCCUAAACGAUGUCAACUAGCUGUUUAGGCCUUCGGGCCGUGGCGCAGCUAACGCGUGAAGUUGACCGCCUGGGAAGUACGGUCGCAGAUUAAAACUCAAAAGGAAUUGACGGGGACCCGCACAAGCCCGGUGGAUGAUGUGGAUUAAUUCGAUGCAACACUUGAAAAACCUUACCUACCCUUGACAUGUCUGGAAUCGAAGAGAUUUGAGUGCCCGCGAACCAGACUUUAGGGUGCCAUGGCUGUCGUCAGCUCGUGUCGUGAGAUGUUGGGUAGUCCGCAACAGGCACCAGCCCUUGUCAUUAGUUGCUACGAAAGGGCACUCUAAUGAGACUGCCAGUGACAAGCCGGAGGAAGGUGGGGAUGACGUCAAGUCCUCAUGGCCCUUAUGGGUAGAAGAAUCUGCGUCAUACAAUGGUCGGGACAGAGGGUCGCCAACCACGGGGAGCCAAUCCCAGAGGCGAUCGAAGUCCGGAUCCGCAAUGAUCUGCAACUCGACUGCGUGAAGUCGGAAUCGCUGGUAAUCGCGGAUCAGCAUGUCGCGGUGAAUACGUUCCCGGAGUCUUGUACACGCCCGUCACACCAUGGGAGUGGGUUUACCGAUGAUUAGCUAACCAAUAAGGAAGGCGAUUACCACGAUAAGGAUUCAUGACUAGGGUGAAGUCGUAACAAGGUAG
This 1463-nucleotide ribosomal RNA is filed under the name uncultured Bordetella sp. Its description in RNAcentral is "partial 16S-23S ribosomal RNA intergenic spacer". It matches the Rfam family "Bacterial small subunit ribosomal RNA". The record is from RNAcentral. Lineage: Bacteria; Pseudomonadati; Pseudomonadota; Betaproteobacteria; Burkholderiales; Alcaligenaceae.